CCUACGGGUGGCAGCAGUGGGGGAUAUUGCACAAUGGGGGGAACCCUGAUGCAGCGACGCCGCGUGGGUGAAGAAGUAUUUCGGUACGUAAAGCUCUAUCAGCAGGGAAGAAAAUGACGGUACCUGACUAAGAAGCCCCGGCUAACUACGUGCCAGCAGCCGCGGUAAUACGUAGGGGGCAAGCGUUAUCCGGAUUUACUGGGUGUAAAGGGGGCGUAGACGGCGGUGCAAGUCUGGAGUGAAAUCCCAGGGCUGAACCAUGGGACUGCUUUGGAAACUGUGUAGCUGGAGUGCAGGAGAGGCAAGCGGAAUUCCUAGUGUAGCGGUGAAAUGCGUAGAUAUUAGGAGGAACACCAGUGGCGAAGGCGGCCUACUGGACUGUAACUGACGUUGAGGCUCGAAAGCGUGGGGAGCAAACAGGAUUAGAUACCCGUGUAGUC
Molecule: ribosomal RNA, 440 nt
Filed under: uncultured bacterium
Lineage: Bacteria
Description: partial 16S ribosomal RNA
Rfam family: Bacterial small subunit ribosomal RNA
Source: RNAcentral